This is a long non-coding RNA of Drosophila ananassae, 715 nucleotides long. RefSeq lists it as uncharacterized. NCBI's taxonomy places the organism in Eukaryota, Metazoa, Arthropoda, Insecta, Diptera, Drosophilidae. The transcript has 3 exons. The record is from RefSeq and is a predicted model, not a curated record.
UGCUCAAACCUGUCAAACAAAUUAUAAACUUUUGUGUGAUAUAUUUCAAGACCCCACUUUUCAUAAUUAUUUGCAGUGCUUCGUUUUACCUUCCCUGAAAGUGGGGAUCGGGUCAGAAGCAGCUAAAACUGAAAGCAGCAGGUUCUGCUGGAUCUCUGGAUCGUGUCUCUACCUGGGACUCACCUCUCCGGAUCGCUGGAACAGAAACUGCACGCGCCGUUCGGUUCAGCAAUUUAAAUUGCCUCCACGAGCAUUUUGAUGGCGAUCACGCGCCCCUUUUGAAAUCUCGCUGCCCAAUCUGCGCCAUAAAGGAUCCGUUCUGUUUCUGUCAGCAACAACAGCAGCAGCAGCAGCAGUUCUUGGUCAGUUCUUUAAUCGUCACUGUUUGUGCCGACAAAGUUUGAGGAAUAGGAAGGAGGAGUUGCCACUCCUGGAAGGCAAACGGCGUCAUGUGCAUCCUGAUUUCGGGCCAACUAACACGUGUAGGGUCAGAGGAGGACGGACCCCCCUUCGGUGCACAAGUUCCAGUUUGAGUGGGCGUAACGCUAGGCCAAUCUCGAUAAGAUGCCAUUUCGUUUGAAAAGACAAAGAGUGCCGGAAAUAAUUGUCAGGGGAGGCUGAAUCCUGUGGCUCUGUGGCUACCUGUCUUGACGUGGCUAAUGAAUCGGCUAUCCCUUUUUUCUUUCGGUAAUUAAAAAUUCACAGAGCGAACGGA